AAAUCCCAAAGUGAAAAUGACAAGAUAGCAUUGUGACAUUGACUUACAAAGGCAUAAGGAAUCUAUAGAUGCCCCUACAUGUCAGCUCCCAAGGCAAAUAUUGCAGCUGUCGUACCCAACAUCCAAGAGCUGAGUAGAUUUCGUCAAAACCUCGAUUCACUGCAAUGCUUAUGGAAACAGCUGUUCUAGGUAUUUGGUAUGAGUUGGGUACUGAAGCUGCUAAAAUGGUACAGAAUUUCCAGAUUAGCCCUGUGUGAACUACUGCCAAUCCUCCCUCUUUUUGCUGAGGAAGACUGGCCCUGAGCUAACAUCCGUGACCAUCUUCCUCUACUUUAUAUGUGGGACGCCUACCGCAGCGUGGCUUUUGCCAAGCGGUGCCACGUCUUCACCCGGGAUCCGAACCUGCAAACCCCGGACUGCCGAGAAGCAGAAUGUGUGAACUUAACCGCUGUGCCACCAGGCCGGCCCUCAAUAAAUAUUAACGGGACGAGUCAAUAAAUAGUUUCUUCCACAGAAGAGUUGAGUCACAUUUCCUUGUCUAAAUAAAGAGUUUUCUGUAAUGCUUAUUUGGCUCACUUUUGACUUCACUUGUAUUCUGCACCAAGGCUUACGGCCUGGGGUAGACUGGGGGACAAAAUCCGAC
RNAcentral lists this long non-coding RNA (643 nucleotides) under Equus caballus (horse). RNAcentral's name for it is "lncRNA (ENSECAG00000052413.1)". Lineage: Eukaryota; Metazoa; Chordata; Mammalia; Perissodactyla; Equidae. The record is from RNAcentral.